AGCGGCGGACGGGUGAGUAAUGUCUGGGAAACUGCCUGAUGAGGGGGAUAACUACUGGAAACGGUAGCUAAUACCGCAUGACCUCGCAAGAGCAAAGUGGGGGACCUUCGGGCCUCACGCCAUCGGAUGUGCCCAGAUGGGAUUAGCUAGUAGGUGAGGUAAUGGCUCACCUAGGCGACGAUCCCUAGCUGGUCUGAGAGGAUGACCAGCCACACUGGAACUGAGACACGGUCCAGACUCC
RNAcentral lists this ribosomal RNA (241 nucleotides) under uncultured Enterobacteriaceae bacterium. RNAcentral's name for it is "partial 16S ribosomal RNA". It matches the Rfam family "Bacterial small subunit ribosomal RNA", at positions 94 to 339 of the family's 1533-position model. Lineage: Bacteria; Pseudomonadati; Pseudomonadota; Gammaproteobacteria; Enterobacterales; Enterobacteriaceae. The record is from RNAcentral.